This 399-nucleotide unclassified non-coding RNA is filed under the name soil metagenome. RNAcentral describes it as "partial contains 5.8S ribosomal RNA, internal transcribed spacer 2, and large subunit ribosomal RNA". The stretch from base 1 to 120 matches the Rfam family "5.8S ribosomal RNA", at positions 35 to 154 of the family's 154-position model. The record is from RNAcentral.
GAUGAAGAACGUAGCGAAAUGCGAUACUUGGUGUGAAUUGCAGAAUCCCGUGAACCAUCGAGUCUUUGAACGCAAGUUGCGCCCGAAGCCUCGGCUAAGGGCACGUCUGCCUGGGCGUCACGCAUCGCGUCUCCCCCAAACCGCCAAGGCGGAGGGGAAGGAAGAUGGCUUCCCGUGCCUCACCCGGGCGCGGUUGGCCUAAAUUUGGAGCCCGCGGCACUUAGCUCUCGCGGCGAUAGGUGGUGAACAAGGCCUUGGCCGUGCAAACAACCCGCUGCGAAGCUCUAUGUCACGUGCGCUCGUCGGACCCUUUGAAGUUGCCUUUGGUGACUUAAAACCUUUGCGACCCCAGGUCAGGCGGGGCUACCCGCUGAAUUUAAGCAUAUCAUAAGCGGAGGA